Long non-coding RNA from Gallus gallus (chicken), 2462 nucleotides. Lineage: Eukaryota; Metazoa; Chordata; Aves; Galliformes; Phasianidae. The record is from Ensembl.
GCCCCAACUGCUGCCUUCUGCCUUUGGGGCGGCCCCACACCGCAUCCUCAUCUCUGAAUCGUAGGGUCUGGAAGGGCCCUUCCAGCACAACCGCUGUGCUGGGAUCCCACAGUUCCGUGGUCUUUAGGGUCCUUUCAACCCAAACUGCGCUGGGAUCCCAUCGUUCUCUGACCACUAAGGCCCCGCUCAACACAGCCAGGCUGGGAUCCCAUUGUUUUAUGAUCUAUAGGAUCCCUCCCAACCAACCAUUCCAUGGUGUCCUGGUCUUUAAGGUCCCACUCAACCCAUCCAGCCGCGAUCCCAUGGUUCUAUGACCUUACAGCGUCCCUUCCGACCCAAUGAUUGGGAUCCCACAGUUCUCUUAUCUAUAGGAUUCCUUCCAACCAAAACUGUGCUGGGAUUCCACAGUCCCAUGGUCUUUAGGGUCCCUCCCAACCCAACAAUUCCACAGUUUCAUGGUCUUUAAGGUCCCGUCCAAUCCACCCACGGUUCUACAAUCUUAUAGGAUCCCUCCCAACUCAACCGUACUGCAAUCCCACGCUUCUAUUAUCUGUAGGGUUCCUUCCGAACCAACCAUUCCAUGAUUUUAUGGCCUUUAAGGUUCUGUCCAAUCCAAGUGCGCUGUCAUCCCACACUUCUAUGAUCUAUACGGCCCCUUCCAACCCAACCACGCUGCGACCCCCAUGGUUCCAUAACCUUUAUGGUCCCUCCCAACCCAAGCAGCCUGCAGGACUGCACCAGAAGUGCAGCACACGGCCGUUGCUCCCAUUGCUCCCAGGCCCAAAGAAGUCGAGGAUCACACAGUCUGUGCACCGCUCUGCUUACGGUGGGGGGGGGGGGGGAACACUGAAGGGAUUAUUUUCCCUCUCCUUUUUACAUCAGUUCAAACUCAGUGUGUUUGAGAGUGAUUUGUGAGCAAUCGGAGCCACUGCUUUGCAGCGCAGUCCGUGGGGUAUAUCCACAUUCACCCCUUGGAGUGAUUUGUUUGGCCAAAGAGCUUCCAUCGCCCCACUGCUUCGGAAGGGCAAAGGGAUCCCAUCAGACCCGGCCCCGAAAUACGCUCCAUUUCCAUUCAGGAUCCUUAGAAUUGGAAACAGCACAACAACCUGAGCCCCCAAAGCUGAGGGACCCUACGGCAGAAUGCUUGGAACACCCCUCAUGCUUUGCAGUGAUGCAAAACCCAAAGGACCAAUGCAGCAAACCGUCCCGUUAGCAAAGCAGUGAUGCAGAACCCAAAGCCCAGGGCAGCAAACCCACCCCACUGUCUUUGCAAUGGUGCAACACCCAAAGGCCCAACCCACACAUGUCCUACAGCUGCACCAGGUGCAGCAAACCCAAACCAUUGCCUUUGCAAUGGUGCAACACCCAAAGAGCUGACCCACAUAUAUCCUACAGGCGCACCGGGUGCAGCAAACACACCCCACUGACUGUGCAAUGGUGCAAAACCCAAAGGGCCGAUGCAACAAACCCACCCCACUGUCUUUGCAAUGGUGCAACACCCAAAGGAACGACCCACAGGUGUCCUACAGCCACACUGGGUGCAGCAAACACACCCCACUGCCGUUGCAGUGCUGCAGAAUAUCAAAGGCCAAUGCAACAAACCCACCCCAUUGGCUUUGCAGUGGUGCAACACCCAAAGGCCCAACCCACACAUGUCCUACAGACGCACCGGGUGCAGCAAACACACCCCACUGACGUUGCAAUGGUGCAAAACCCAAAGGGUCGAUGCCACAAACCCACCCCACUGGCUUUGUGAUGACCCAUAACCCAAAGGACCAACACAACAAACCCACCCUAUUGCCUUUGCAAUGGUGCAGUACCCGAAGAGCUGACCCACAUAUAUCCCACAGCCACACCGGGUGCAACAAACCCACCCCAGUGCCUUUGCAAUGGUGCAAAAUACAGAGGGCUGACCCACAACGUGUCCUACAGCUGCACCAGGUGCAGCAAACCCAAACCAUUGCCUUUGCAAUGGUGCAACACCCAAAGAGCUGACCCACAUAUAUCCUACAGACGCACCGGGUGCAGCAAACACACCCCACUGACUGUGCAAUGGUGCAAAACCCAAAGGGUCAAUGCAACAAACCCACCCCACUGUCUUUGCAAUGGUGCAACACCCAAAGGAACGACCCACAGGUGUCCUACAGCCACACGGUGCAGCAAACACAGCCCACUGCCAUUGCAGUGCUGCAGAAUAUCAAAGGCCAAUGCAACAAACCCACCCCAUUGGCUUUGCAGUGGUGCAACACCCAAAGGCCCAACCCACACAUGUCCUACAGACGCACCGGGUGCAGCAAACACACUCCACUGACUGUGCAAUGGUGCAAAACCCAAAGGGUCGAUGCCACAAACCCACCCCAUUGCCUUUGCAAUGGUGCAAUACCUGAAGAGUUGACCCACAUAUAUCCCACAGCCACACCGGGUGCAACAAACCCACCCCAGUGCCUUUGCAAUGGUGCAAA